AGAUUAAGUUAUUAAGGGCGCACGGUGGAUGCCUUGGCACUAGAAGCCGAUGAAGGACGUUACUAACGACGAUAUGCUUUGGGGAGCUGUAAGUAAGCUUUGAUCCAGAGAUUUCCGAAUGGGGAAACCCAGCAUGAGUUAUGUCAUGUUAUCGAUAUGUGAAUACAUAGCAUAUCAGAAGGCACACCCGGAGAACUGAAACAUCUUAGUACCCGGAGGAAGAGAAAGAAAAUUCGAUUCCCUUAGUAGCGGCGAGCGAAACGGGAAGAGCCCAAACCAACAAGCUUGCUUGUUGGGGUUGUAGGACACUCUAUACGGAGUUACAAAGGACGACAUUAGACGAAUCAUCUGGAAAGAUGAAUCAAAGAAGGUAAUAAUCCUGUAGUCGAAAAUGUUGUCUCUCUUGAGUGGAUCCUGAGUACGGCGGGACACGUGAAAUCCCGUCGGAAUCUGGGAGGACCAUCUCCUAAGGCUAAAUACUCUCUAGUGACCGAUAGUGAACCAGUACCGUGAGGGAAAGGUGAAAAGCACCCCGGAAGGGGAGUGAAAUAGAACCUGAAACCGUGUGCUUACAAGUAGUCAGAGCCCGUUAAUGGGUGAUGGCGUGCCUUUUGUAGAAUGAACCGGCGAGUUACGAUUUGAUGCAAGGUUAAGCAGUAAAUGUGGAGCCGUAGCGAAAGCGAGUCUGAAUAGGGCGUUUAGUAUUUGGUCGUAGACCCGAAACCAGGUGAUCUACCCUUGGUCAGGUUGAAGUUCAGGUAACACUGAAUGGAGGACCGAACCGACUUACGUUGAAAAGUGAGCGGAUGAACUGAGGGUAGCGGAGAAAUUCCAAUCGAACCUGG
This 845-nucleotide ribosomal RNA is filed under the name Staphylococcus aureus. RNAcentral describes it as "partial 23S ribosomal RNA". It matches the Rfam family "Bacterial large subunit ribosomal RNA", at positions 1 to 842 of the family's 2925-position model. Lineage: Bacteria; Bacillati; Bacillota; Bacilli; Caryophanales; Staphylococcaceae. The record is from RNAcentral.